GGCCUGGUGGUGUAGUGGUAACACACCUGCUUUACCUACCAUUGAAAGUAUAAAUACGCGGCAGGAGUCCCCCGUUCGAAUCGGGGCAGGCCA
This is a non-coding RNA of Mycena maculata, 93 nucleotides long. The record is from the annotation of a GenBank genome assembly. NCBI's taxonomy places the organism in Eukaryota, Fungi, Basidiomycota, Agaricomycetes, Agaricales, Mycenaceae.